CAGCAGCCGCGGUAAAACGGAGGGGGCUAGGGUUGUUCGGAAUUACUGGGCGUAAAGCGCACGUAGGCGGCUUGGUAAGUUAGAGGUGAAAGCCUGGAGCUCAACUCCAGAAUUGCCUUUAAGACUGCCGAGCUAGCAGGUGAGAGAGGUAAGUGGAAUUCCGAGUGUAGAGGUGAAAUUCGUAGAUAUUCGGAAGAACACCAGUGGCGAAGGCGGCUUACUGGCUCAUACUGGACGCUGAGGUGCGAAAGCGUGGGGAGCAAACAGGAUUAGAUACCCCUGUAGUCCCUGUCUCUUAUAC
This 301-nucleotide ribosomal RNA is filed under the name uncultured bacterium. Its description in RNAcentral is "partial 16S ribosomal RNA". It matches the Rfam family "Bacterial small subunit ribosomal RNA", at positions 509 to 807 of the family's 1533-position model. The record is from RNAcentral.